Molecule: ribosomal RNA, 808 nt
Filed under: uncultured bacterium
Lineage: Bacteria
Description: bacterial SSU rRNA
Rfam family: Bacterial small subunit ribosomal RNA
Source: RNAcentral
UGGUCUGUAACUGACGCUGAGGCUAGAAAGCAUGGGUAGCGAACAGGAUUAGAUACCCUGGUAGUCCAUGCCGUAAACGAUGAGUGCUAGGUGUUGGAGGGUUUCCGCCCUUCGGUGCCGCAGCUAACGCAUUAAGCACUCCGCCUGGGGAGUACGACCGCAAGGUUGAAACUCAAAGGAAUUGACGGGGGCCCGCACAAGCGGUGGAGCAUGUGGUUUAAUUCGAUGCAACGCGAAGAACCUUACCAGGUCUUGACAUCUUCUGCCAAUCUUAGAGAUAAGACGUUCCCUUCGGGGACAGAAUGACAGGUGGUGCAUGGCUGUCGUCAGCUCGUGUCGUGAGAUGUUGGGUUAAGUCCCGCAACGAGCGCAACCCUUAUUGUUAGUUGCCAGCAUUUAGUUGGGCACUCUAGCAAGACUGCCGGUGACAAACCGGAGGAAGGUGGGGAUGACGUCAAGUCCUCAUGCUCCUUAUGACCUGGGCUACACACGUGCUACAAUGGACGGUACAACGAGUCGCGAAACCGCGAGGUCAAGCUAAUCUCUUAAAGCUGUUCUCAGUUCGGAUUGCAGGCUGCAACUCGCCUGCAUGAAGUCGGAAUCGCUAGUAGUCGUGGAUCAGCAUGCCACGGUGAAUACGUUCCCGGGCCUUGUACACACCGCCCGUCGCACCAUGAGAGUUUGUAACACCCAAAGCCGGUGGGGUAACCUUUUAGGAGCCAGCCGUCUAAGGUGGGACAGAUGAUUAGGGUGAAGUCGUAACAAGGUAGCCGUAGGAGAACCUGCGGCUGGAUCACCUCCUUUCUAA